UUAAAAGACUGCAAAGAGAAUUAAAACAGUAGUGGGAACAUUACUUUCCACCAUCGCCGUGUCUAUAGUUAUAUAUGGUCAAAGGCUUGGCGACGAGUUAUUAACGAAAAACAAAAACCAAUCAGACAGCGAAUAUAGCUCGCUCUCCGCUGCGGCCAACCACUGCCGCGUCGAUCUUGCUGUCGCGCCGAAGGGCGCCAGCAGCGUUCUUACCAAAAUAAGUUACGCAAGGAGUUGUAGCUCAGAGUUUCAAUCAUCAUUUGGUAGACGUGCCACAACGCUAUGCGGGACAUCCGGCGCAUAUGUUACCUACUCUACUCCCUGAGAAAAGAAUGUAUUUUAGUUCGUACAAAAAGACACUGGACAAUUCUUCAUUGUGAGCUCAACUGUGGGGAAAUUCAGAAAUUUAACAUCAUAGCGAAGAAGUGUCCGAAUGAUUUGAAUUGUUAUAACAUAGUAACAUUGUCACGCGGAAAUACAACACUUGGUAUGAAAAUAUUAAAUCCUCCGAAAUACA
Megalopta genalis is the source of this 517-nucleotide long non-coding RNA. RefSeq lists it as uncharacterized. The record is from RefSeq and is a predicted model, not a curated record. NCBI's taxonomy places the organism in Eukaryota, Metazoa, Arthropoda, Insecta, Hymenoptera, Halictidae.